UACGUAGGGGGCAAGCGUUGUCCGGAAUCAUUGGGCGUAAAGAGCGCGUAGGCGGCCCGAUAAGUCCGCUGUGAAAGUCAAGGGCUCAACCCUUGAAUGCCGGUGGAUACUGUCGGGCUAGAGUCCGGAAGAGGCGAGUGGAAUUCCUGGUGUAGCGGUGAAAUGCGCAGAUAUCAGGAGGAACACCAAUUGCGAAGGCAGCUCGCUGGGACGUAACUGACGCUGAGACGCGAAAGCGUGGGGAGCAAACAGG
This 253-nucleotide ribosomal RNA is filed under the name uncultured bacterium. Its description in RNAcentral is "partial 16S ribosomal RNA". It matches the Rfam family "Bacterial small subunit ribosomal RNA", at positions 524 to 776 of the family's 1533-position model. The record is from RNAcentral.